RNAcentral lists this ribosomal RNA (497 nucleotides) under uncultured bacterium. Its description in RNAcentral is "partial 16S ribosomal RNA". It matches the Rfam family "Bacterial small subunit ribosomal RNA", at positions 28 to 507 of the family's 1533-position model. The record is from RNAcentral.
GAUGAACGCUGGCGGCGUGCCUAACACAUGCAAGUCGAGCGAACAGACCAGGAGCUUGCUCCCCCGACUUUAUCGGCGGACGGGAGCUUAACACGUGGAUAACCUACCUAUCAGACUGGGAUAAUUUCGGGAAACCGGAUCUAAUACCGGAUAAUAUAUUGCAUCGCAUUGUUCAAUAGUUAAAGACGCUAUUUCUUACACUAAUAGACUGACCCGCGGAGCAUUAGUUAGUUGGUAAGGGAACGGCUUACCAAGGCAACGAUGCGUAGCCGACCUGAGAGGGUGAUCGGCCACACGGGAACUGAGACACGGUCCAGACUCCUACGGGAGGCAGCAGUAGGGAAUCUUCCGCAAUGGGCGAAAGCCUGACGGAGCAACGCCGCGUGAGUGAUGAAGGUCUUCGGAUCGUAAAACUCUGUUAUUAGGGAAGAACAAAUGUGUAAGUAACUAUGCACGUCUUGACGGUACCUAAUCAGAAAGCCACGGCUAACUACGUG